UUAACCUAGCGGCGGACGGGUGAGUAAUGCUUAGGAAUCUGCCUAUUAGUGGGGGACAACAUCUCGAAAGGGAUGCUAAUACCGCAUACGUCCUACGGGAGAAAGCAGGGGACCUUCGGGCCUUGCGCUAAUAGAUGAGCCUAAGUCGGAUUAGCUAGUUGGUGGGGUAAAGGCCUACCAAGGCGACGAUCUGUAGCGGGUCUGAGAGGAUGAUCCGCCACACUGGGACUGAGACACGGCCCAGACUCCUACGGGAGGCAGCAGUGGGGAAUAUUGGACAAUGGGGGGAACCCUGAUCCAGCCAUGCCGCGUGUGUGAAGAAGGCCUUUUGGUUGUAAAGCACUUUAAGCGAGGAGGAGGCUACCGAGAUUAAUACUCUUGGAUAGUGGACGUUACUCGCAGAAUAAGCACCGGCUAACUCUGUGCCAGCAGCCGCGGUAAUACAGAGGGUGCAAGCGUUAAUCGGAUUUACUGGGCGUAAAGCGCGCGUAGGUGGCCAAUUAAGUCAAAUGUGAAAUCCCCGAGCUUAACUUGGGAAUUGCAUUCGAUACUGGUUGGCUAGAGUAUGGGAGAGGAUGGUAGAAUUCCAGGUGUAGCGGUGAAAUGCGUAGAGAUCUGGAGGAAUACCGAUGGCGAAGGCAGCCAUCUGGCCUAAUACUGACACUGAGGUGCGAAAGCAUGGGGAGCAAACAGGAUUAGAUACCCUGGUAGUCCAUGCCGUAAACGAUGUCUACUAGCCGUUGGGGCCUUUGAGGCUUUAGUGGCGCAGCUAACGCGAUAAGUAGACCGCCUGGGGAGUAC
This 801-nucleotide ribosomal RNA is filed under the name uncultured bacterium. RNAcentral's name for it is "bacterial SSU rRNA". It matches the Rfam family "Bacterial small subunit ribosomal RNA", at positions 87 to 883 of the family's 1533-position model. The record is from RNAcentral.